UACGGGGGGGGCAAGCGUUGUUCGGAAUUACUGGGCGUAAAGGGCUCGUAGGCGGCCAACUAAGUCAGACGUGAAAUCCCUCGGCUUAACCGGGGAACUGCGUCUGAUACUGGAUGGCUUGAGUGUGGGAGAGGGAUGCGGAAUUCCAGGUGUAGCGGUGAAAUGCGUAGAUAUCUGGAGGAACACCGGUGGCGAAGGCGGCAUCCUGGACCAUUACUGACACUGAAUAGCGAAAGCCAGGGGAGCAAACGGG
Molecule: ribosomal RNA, 253 nt
Filed under: uncultured bacterium
Lineage: Bacteria
Description: partial 16S ribosomal RNA
Rfam family: Bacterial small subunit ribosomal RNA
Source: RNAcentral